UUUCCGGAAGGGAACCUGCGGAAGGAUCAUUACCGAGUUGAUUCGAGCUCCGGCUCGACUCUCCCACCCCAUGUGUACCUACCUCUGUUGCUUUGGCGGGCCGCGGUCCUCCGCACCGACCCCCGUUCGGGGGGCCGGCCAGCGCCCGCCAGAGGACCACAAAACUCCAGUCAGUAAACGUCGCAGUAUGAGAAACAAGUUAAUAAACUAAAACUUUCAACAACGGAUCUCUUGGUUAUGGCAUCGAUGAAGAACGCAGCGAAAUGCGAUAAGUAAUGUGAAUUGCAGAAUUCAGUGAAUCAUCGAAUCUUUGAACGCACAUUGCGCCCCUUGGUAUUCGGAGGGGCAUGCCUGUUCGAGCGUCAUUUCAACCCUCAAGCUCUGCUUGGUAUUGGGCUCCGUCCUCUGUGGACGCGCCUAGAAGACCUCGGCGGUGGCGUCUUGCAUCAAGAGUAGUAGAAAACACCUCGCUGAGGAGCGCACGGCGUCGCCCGCCGGACGAACCUAUGAAUUUUCUCAAGGUGACCU
This 528-nucleotide ribosomal RNA is filed under the name Neofusicoccum luteum. Its description in RNAcentral is "eukaryotic LSU rRNA". The stretch from base 212 to 365 matches the Rfam family "5.8S ribosomal RNA". The record is from RNAcentral. Lineage: Eukaryota; Fungi; Ascomycota; Dothideomycetes; Botryosphaeriales; Botryosphaeriaceae.